CGAGGCCCAGGAUGAUCAACUAGUAUUUGCCUACAUUGCUUGAUUGCUGUAUGAUAAAAGAUUAUGUUGUUCUGAGGCUUUG
This is a small nucleolar RNA of Zingiber officinale, 82 nucleotides long. RefSeq annotates it as small nucleolar RNA SNORD34. The record is from RefSeq and is a predicted model, not a curated record. NCBI's taxonomy places the organism in Eukaryota, Viridiplantae, Streptophyta, Magnoliopsida, Zingiberales, Zingiberaceae. The transcript has a single exon.